Molecule: ribosomal RNA, 568 nt
Filed under: Pseudomonas sp.
Lineage: Bacteria; Pseudomonadati; Pseudomonadota; Gammaproteobacteria; Pseudomonadales; Pseudomonadaceae
Description: bacterial SSU rRNA
Rfam family: Bacterial small subunit ribosomal RNA
Source: RNAcentral
CUUGCUUCUCUUGAGAGCGGCGGACGGGUGAGUAAUGCCUAGGAAUCUGCCUGGUAGUGGGGGAUAACGUUCGGAAACGGACGCUAAUACCGCAUACGUCCUACGGGAGAAAGCAGGGGACCUUCGGGCCUUGCGCUAUCAGAUGAGCCUAGGUCGGAUUAGCUAGUUGGUGGGGUAAUGGCUCACCAAGGCGACGAUCCGUAACUGGUCUGAGAGGAUGAUCAGUCACACUGGAACUGAGACACGGUCCAGACUCCUACGGGAGGCAGCAGUGGGGAAUAUUGGACAAUGGGCGAAAGCCUGAUCCAGCCAUGCCGCGUGUGUGAAGAAGGUCUUCGGAUUGUAAAGCACUUUAAGUUGGGAGGAAGGGCAGUAAAUUAAUACUUUGCUGUUUUGACGUUACCGACAGAAUAAGCACCGGCUAACUCUGUGCCAGCAGCCGCGGUAAUACAGAGGGUGCAAGCGUUAAUCGGAAUUACUGGGCGUAAAGCGCGCGUAGGUGGUUCGUUAAGUUGGAUGUGAAAUCCCCGGGCUCAACCUGGGAACUGCAUUCAAAACUGACGAGCUA